Molecule: small RNA, 555 nt
Filed under: Pan troglodytes (chimpanzee)
Lineage: Eukaryota; Metazoa; Chordata; Mammalia; Primates; Hominidae
Description: retained intron
Source: RNAcentral
AGUGCUCUCUUCCGCCUUCAGUGCCCUGCUCAUCAAGGGUCUGGGUUUCCCGGUCCUCUGGCGAGGAUCCUCCAAGGCGUCUCACAUGAACCGGCUCAGAAACGCCAAAAUCUACGUGGAGAGAGCUGUCAAGCAGAAGAAGAUCUUUACAAUCCAAGGCUGCUACCCGGUGAUCCGGUGUCUCUUGCGCCGGAGGGGCUGGGUGGAGAAGAAGAUGGUCCAUCGCUCAGGCCCCACCCUACUGCCACCCCAGAAGGAUCUGGAUAGCUCAGCAAUGGGUGACAGUGACACCACUGAGGAUGAGGAUGAAGAUGAGGACGAGGAGUUCCAGCCAUCACAGCUGUUUGACUUCGAUGAUUUACUGAAAUUUGAUGACCUAGAUGGAACACAUGCUCUGAUGGUGGGUCUAUGUCUCAAUCUCCGGAAUUUGCCGUGGUUUGAUGAGGUUGAUGCCAACUCCUUCUUCCCACGCUGCUACCGCCUGGGGGCUGAGGAUGACAAAAAAGCCUUCAUAGGUAAGGAGACCCCCAGCCCUAUGCCUGAACCUCAGGCUGA